This is a non-coding RNA of Lupinus angustifolius (narrow-leaved blue lupine), 117 nucleotides long. The record is from Rfam. Lineage: Eukaryota; Viridiplantae; Streptophyta; Magnoliopsida; Fabales; Fabaceae.
GUGCGAUCAAACUAGCACUAAUGCACCGGAUUCCAAUAGAACUUCGCUGUUAAGCGUGCUUGGGCGAGAGUAGUAUUAGGAUGGGUGACCUCUUGGGACCUGGAGUAUUUUCGAGCU